This 594-nucleotide long non-coding RNA is filed under the name Anas platyrhynchos (mallard). RNAcentral describes it as "lncRNA (ENSAPLG00020006491.1)". The record is from RNAcentral. Lineage: Eukaryota; Metazoa; Chordata; Aves; Anseriformes; Anatidae.
CGCCUCCCCGCCGAGGAGCGGCUUCCCCCAGGAGAGCGGUCAGGCCCCCUCCGCGGGGAUUUAUCGCGACAGCGGCGAUACAAGGAGAGGCACAGCCGAAAUCUCCAGAAAGCCAUCGCCGGCCCUGCCCGCGCGGUUUGAGGUCCUUGGGAAUUUUGUCAGAGCUUGAAGACAAACUUGCCGGUAAGGGUGGAAGGGGAAGAAGAGUCGUGUGAUUCACGUUCUGUGUAAAUGCCAAGUGACCGCCAGGAAAAAUCUUUAGCAGAUUUAAGGAUAAUCAGUUACUGCAUGGUGGACUUCAGUUAGCUUCUACUCUCUGAAUAUGCUGAAGAUUGAGAAAAUAAACAUUUUCAAGUAAAACUCCACAUAUCUGCUUAUGCAACCAUAGCAGCACCUCAGACUUUGCUUGUGCAGGACAUACAACGCCCGUCAGUGACGAACAAAUGUGUGAUGGACUUACCCAGCACGUGGUCUUAGAGAAGAAAAGUGCGAUGGGACUGGACUUCUGGAGCCUAAUUAAGUCUACACUGUUUCUGUCAGUGCUGCUGCCACAUUUGAAUGAGGAGGUGACGUAAUCCGUAAUUCACCAUCUGU